UACGGGAGGCAGCAGUGGGGAAUUUUGGACAAUGGGCGCAAGCCUGAUCCAGCCAUGCCGCGUGCGGGACGAAGGCCUUCGGGUUGUAAACCGUUUUCAGCCGGAAAGAAAUCGCU
This 116-nucleotide ribosomal RNA is filed under the name uncultured bacterium. Its description in RNAcentral is "partial 16S ribosomal RNA". It matches the Rfam family "Bacterial small subunit ribosomal RNA", at positions 340 to 455 of the family's 1533-position model. The record is from RNAcentral.